AAGUCGUAACAAGGUUUCCGUAGGUGAACCUGCGGAAGGAUCAUUAACACUUUUUUUUAUUUAUUUUUUCUUUUUUAUUUUUUUAAAAGAGAAAAAUAAUUAAACAAAACCCCACAAUUUUGGAUGAAUUUAAAUUAUUAAUUUUUAAUUUUAUUUUUUAUUAAACUCUUAUUAAUUUUUUUGGACUAACAUGUUAUUUUUUAAAAAUUUAAAAAAAAAUUUAAAAAACAACUCUUAACAACGGAUAUCUUGGCUCUC
This 258-nucleotide unclassified non-coding RNA is filed under the name fungal sp. RNAcentral's name for it is "partial internal transcribed spacer region". The stretch from base 1 to 46 matches the Rfam family "Eukaryotic small subunit ribosomal RNA", at positions 1786 to 1831 of the family's 1831-position model. Lineage: Eukaryota; Fungi. The record is from RNAcentral.